Agrilus planipennis (emerald ash borer) is the source of this 749-nucleotide non-coding RNA. The record is from the annotation of a RefSeq genome assembly. Lineage: Eukaryota; Metazoa; Arthropoda; Insecta; Coleoptera; Buprestidae.
CGAAAGUUUUAUUUUGGCUUAUUUUUUGCUUAAUCUUUUAUUUUUAUGUAAGUUUUAGCGGUUUUAUUUAAAUAAGUUUUAAUUUGCAGUAUUUAAUUUUAAGUUUUUAGUCACCUAAGACUUAGGAAUAGAUUAUUACUCUGACUUAAUUUGUGCCAGCAGUCGCGGUUAGACAAAUAGAGUUUGUGAAAGUUUUUGGUUUGCAGUUAAUUGUUCUUGUAAAAUUAAAUUUGAAAUUAUUAAGUGAAAUUUUAAUUUUGAUUUUAAUUUUUUUUUAAUGAAGCUGUUAGAUUUUUUUUUAAACUAGGAUUAGAUACCCUAUUAUUUUAAAUGUAAAGUUUACCACCAGGUUAGUAAUAGUUAUUUUCUUGAAAACAAAAGAAUUUGGCGGUAUUUUAGUCUUCUCAGAGGAAUCUGUCCUGUAAUUGAUAAUCCACGAUUAUACCUACUUGUUUUUGGUUUGUAUAUCGUCGUGGUUGAUUAUUUUAUAAGAAUUGUUAAUGGUCAUGAAUCUAAAUAAAGAAGGAAGUCAGAUCAAGAUGCAGCUUAAAUAAGGAGAGAUGGAUUACAAUAAACUUAUUUAUAUGGUUAGGAUUUUUUAAAGAUUUUAUAAAGUGGAUUUGAAAGUAAUUUUUAAUUAUUUUUUAAAGAUGAUUUAGCUCUAAAAUAUGCACAUAUCGCCCGUCGCUUCCAUAAUAUGGAAUAAGUCGUAACAAAGUAGGUGUACUGGAAAGUGUAUCUAGAAAGAU